Molecule: non-coding RNA, 303 nt
Organism: Vicia faba (fava bean)
Lineage: Eukaryota; Viridiplantae; Streptophyta; Magnoliopsida; Fabales; Fabaceae
Source: the annotation of a GenBank genome assembly
AUGAACUCUGACAGAGCAAAGGAUGUUUACUUUUGUGUGUUUUGUACUGACAUCAGACUUAUCAUUAGAGUUGUUGCUAGAAAAGUCAUCGGAAGUGACGUAAAAUUUGUCGCUAGAAAUGUUGUCGGAGCUUUCGUCGGAAAUAUCACUAGAGAUGUCUUCGAUUGUGACGUAAGAGGUAUCACCAGGAAUGGCGUCGGUGAUUCUGUCAGAGUUACCAUCAGAGACUACUUUAGUGAAUCUGGAAGUUUUUCUUCUUCCUGUUGUUUUUGUUCUGAUUUUAAUUCAACAAUACAUUUUUGA